RNAcentral lists this ribosomal RNA (685 nucleotides) under Klebsiella pneumoniae. RNAcentral's name for it is "bacterial SSU rRNA". It matches the Rfam family "Bacterial small subunit ribosomal RNA", at positions 835 to 1520 of the family's 1533-position model. The record is from RNAcentral. Lineage: Bacteria; Pseudomonadati; Pseudomonadota; Gammaproteobacteria; Enterobacterales; Enterobacteriaceae.
AGGCGUGGCUUCCGGAGCUAACGCGUUAAAUCGACCGCCUGGGGAGUACGGCCGCAAGGUUAAAACUCAAAUGAAUUGACGGGGGCCCGCACAAGCGGUGGAGCAUGUGGUUUAAUUCGAUGCAACGCGAAGAACCUUACCUGGUCUUGACAUCCACAGAACUUUCCAGAGAUGGAUUGGUGCCUUCGGGAACUGUGAGACAGGUGCUGCAUGGCUGUCGUCAGCUCGUGUUGUGAAAUGUUGGGUUAAGUCCCGCAACGAGCGCAACCCUUAUCCUUUGUUGCCAGCGGUUAGGCCGGGAACUCAAAGGAGACUGCCAGUGAUAAACUGGAGGAAGGUGGGGAUGACGUCAAGUCAUCAUGGCCCUUACGACCAGGGCUACACACGUGCUACAAUGGCAUAUACAAAGAGAAGCGACCUCGCGAGAGCAAGCGGACCUCAUAAAGUAUGUCGUAGUCCGGAUUGGAGUCUGCAACUCGACUCCAUGAAGUCGGAAUCGCUAGUAAUCGUAGAUCAGAAUGCUACGGUGAAUACGUUCCCGGGCCUUGUACACACCGCCCGUCACACCAUGGGAGUGGGUUGCAAAAGAAGUAGGUAGCUUAACCUUCGGGAGGGCGCUUACCACUUUGUGAUUCAUGACUGGGGUGAAGUCGUAACAAGGUAACCGUAGGGGAACCUGCGGUUG